AUGCAUGUUUCUCAUGCAAAAGUAAAGAGAAAGGAGUGAUAAACUUUAGAGUGAGCUGUCUGAUCUUCCUUCCUCCAACAGAGGAGAGAUGGCAGGAUAAUUAUCCUGCUGUCCUCACCCAGCACACUCCAGUAGAGCUGAGUGUCCAAUUUACCUGUCUGAGAUGAUGAGCAGAACCUGAAGGAACUGACACUGUAAAUCUUGAGGAUCUGUAAUUGCUAAUAAAAAGGGAACAGAUUGUUCAGUGCCGUGGCUGUGGACUUUUUGUGUGACCUUUCAAGUGUAGCAGUCACUGGGUGCCAGCACCCCUCUUUACCUGCUGCUGGAGCCACCUGGAAGGCACAAGGCUCACUGGGGUGAUUCUCAGCAGGUCAGAAAAUCUCCUGCAAAGCCCUGGUUUAUGCUGGCUGGGACACUCACUGUGGGUGAGGUAGUUGGUUCAUUGAGAAGGUACAAAAUAAGGAUGGAGUGGCUCCAAUUCUGCCCCUGAGAAUCUCUCUGCCCAGUAAAGGAGCUUAACCUGUUGUACCUAAAAAAAGAAAAGAGCAGGAAACAAGAAAAUAUCUAUUUCCUGGAUUAACUGGUAGAAAAUACUCCUCAAAGAAAGGUAGAAGUUCUGGGCAAUUUCUCUUGUCAGUAUGGUUUUAUUCCACAGGUUUUGAGGACAUCAGGUUACUCAUCUUUUAGGGUCUUUGGGCUUUUUUCCCCUCAAAUAAAAAUUAAUAACUGAUCUUGUGGAUCACUGUGAUCUUCAGCCUUGUCCCACGAAUUAUUGCUCAGAGUGUGAAUUCCUGGAUUUAUUUGGGCAAAUGCCCUGCUUGGCACUGUGGUCACUACUGGGUGCCUCUGGGGUGAGAUACCUGCAGUGAUGUGGAUGUCCCCCUUGGGUGUGGCAGUAAAGGUUUCCUCAAUAAAUGCAUCU
Molecule: long non-coding RNA, 922 nt
Organism: Ficedula albicollis (Collared flycatcher)
Lineage: Eukaryota; Metazoa; Chordata; Aves; Passeriformes; Muscicapidae
Exons: 3
Source: RefSeq, a predicted model, not a curated record